This 738-nucleotide long non-coding RNA is filed under the name Brassica rapa (field mustard). Its description in RNAcentral is "long non-coding RNA (BRAP_LNC008592)". The record is from RNAcentral. Lineage: Eukaryota; Viridiplantae; Streptophyta; Magnoliopsida; Brassicales; Brassicaceae.
AAUCCUACUUUAAUCGUUUUUAUAAGCGUUGUACUACCUUGAAGACGCAAUCUAAGGCAAGUUUUUUUCUUUUUUAGUGAAACAAAAUGUUUUAUUUUUAUUGUGUUAAUCUGUUCCAAGUAUUUUAAGCACCCUAUAGGGGUUCUCCCAUUGGAGGAAGAAAACUAUAGGGCCACUAACUAAAGUCCUAAACUUGCCAACUCACAUCAAAUAUUCUUAAUAUAAUCAUUAGGACCUCUAAUGGGUCCUAAUGGAUGGAGAUGGUCUAAAGCAUUAAAAAAAUUUAGCCCUUAAAAUAUAACAUUUUUGGAAAAAUGUCAAAACUCUUAUACCUGUGUUUGAACCCGGGGUACUAGAGUACUAAUGAGGACUGUUACCAACUAUGAUGUAGACAAUUUUUACAAUAAAUUUGACCCCUAAAACUAUUUAUCUAAGUUUUGGUUCCAAGCAGGUGCUUGAUUAGCCUCUAGUCAGGCACGGCCCUGGUAAUGGUAUUGAACAUUGAGAAGCAAGAAAAGUAAGGAGCUAGAAGUGAGAAUAAAAGGGGUGAAAUGGAAAGAAAAGAAAAGAAAAGAAAAGAAAAAAGGGUAAGGGUAACUUAUAACUAAAUUAAUUGAUAAAAACUAAAACGAUGUUCAUGUAUUAUGAAAGAGAGUUAAAUAUACAUUAAUAUAAAUAUAGAAUGUGUUUAGAAAUUUUAAAACAACACUAAAGAUCAUAUGCUUCAGUAUAUAGAAC